RNAcentral lists this ribosomal RNA (497 nucleotides) under uncultured bacterium. RNAcentral's name for it is "partial 16S ribosomal RNA". It matches the Rfam family "Bacterial small subunit ribosomal RNA", at positions 28 to 507 of the family's 1533-position model. The record is from RNAcentral.
GAUGAACGCUGGCGGCGUGCCUAAUACAUGCAAGUCGAGCGAACAGACGAGAAGCUUGCUCCUCUGACGUUAGCGGCGGACGGGUGAGUAACACGUGGAUAACCUACCUAUAAGACUGGGAUAACUUCGGGAAACCGGAGCUAAUACCGGAUAAUAUAUUGAACCGCAUGGUUCAAUAGUGAAAGACGGUUUUGCUGUCACUUAUAGAUGGAUCCGCGCCGCAUUAGCUAGUUGGUAAGGUAACGGCUUACCAAGGCAACGAUGCAUAGCCGACCUGAGAGGGUGAUCGGCCACACUGGAACUGAGACACGGUCCAGACUCCUACGGGAGGCAGCAGUAGGGAAUCUUCCGCAAUGGGCGAAAGCUUGACGGAGCAACGCCGCGUGAGUGAUGAAGGUCUUCGGAUCGUAAAACUCUGUUAUUAGGGAAGAACAAAUGUGUAAGUAACUAUGCACGUCUUGACGGUACCUAAUCAGAAAGCCACGGCUAACUACGUG